This is a long non-coding RNA of Anas platyrhynchos (mallard), 630 nucleotides long. RefSeq lists it as uncharacterized. Lineage: Eukaryota; Metazoa; Chordata; Aves; Anseriformes; Anatidae. The record is from RefSeq and is a predicted model, not a curated record.
ACCACGGGGGAAAAUAAAAGCGGCUCCGAGCACCCUGCUGAAGGCAGCGCUUGCUUACCCACCCUCCCCAGACUGUGUGCUACUGGCCGUGAGGGAAAUAAGUGGGAAAAAAUGGGUGUAAUGAGGGAAAAAUCCCCGUAUUGGGCCUCCACCAACAGCGAGGCGCAGUGACUGACAGGAAACAGUGAAAAGGGGGGAUCUAGACAGGAAAAGGUGAGCUCUCAGUUUCCUGCUGUGAAAUAUAGGUCCUUUGCCACCUUCCCUGCAGACACUGAUGAGGGAAAGGUAGGAAGUUAACCAGCUCAAGCAGUCUUUCACCAGUGAAGCUCUGCAAAAAGCUGUAUUCUUAAAACAAACAAACAAAUCCCACCACUUUCGGUAGCAGAAGCAGCUCCAUUUUCCACAGUCUGUUUCCUAAGUGUGGCAACUCGGUUGCAAAGACUGCAGAGCCACCUCAGAGCAUCGUUGGUUAUAAGGAGGUCCCCAGCACCAAGAUUUACUCUUUUUAAGGGGCUGCACAGACCAUCUCCCGGACUCUAUGGAAGCAAAAGGUGCUGAUGAACUGCGAUAUUUCAUCUCCAAUACAUGUGCUUCAGUCCAGACAGCAGUUGUUCCAUGCCAUGCUAAAGG